RNAcentral lists this ribosomal RNA (440 nucleotides) under uncultured bacterium. Its description in RNAcentral is "partial 16S ribosomal RNA". It matches the Rfam family "Bacterial small subunit ribosomal RNA", at positions 338 to 795 of the family's 1533-position model. The record is from RNAcentral.
CCUACGGGUGGCAGCAGUGGGGGAUAUUGCACAAUGGAGGGAACUCUGAUGCAGCGACGCCGCGUGAGGGAAGAAGGUUUUCGGAUUGUAAACCUCCGUUUUCGGUGACGAAACGAGACGGUAGCCGAGGAGGAAGCCACGGCUAACUACGUACCAGCAGCCGCGGUAAUACGGAGGUGGCAAGCGUUGUCCGGAAUUACUGGGUGUAAAGGGAGCGUAGGCGGGAAAGCAAGUUGAAUGUUUAAGGUACGGGCUCAACCUGUACAAGCGUUCAAAACUGGUUUUCUUGAGUGGAGGAGAGGUAAGCGGAAUGCGUGGUGUAGCGGUGAAAUGCGUAAAUAUUAGGAGGAACACCGGUGGCGAAGGCAGCUUACUGGGCUUUAACUGACGCUGAGGCACGAAAGCGUGGGUAGCGAACAGGAUUAGAUACCCGUGUAGUC